This 333-nucleotide unclassified non-coding RNA is filed under the name Hevea brasiliensis (rubber tree). The record is from RNAcentral. Lineage: Eukaryota; Viridiplantae; Streptophyta; Magnoliopsida; Malpighiales; Euphorbiaceae.
AAGGAAUUCAACUCACCCUUGCCAAUUGUCAAAUAAGAAUUUGUAGAAACUAACAAUUGUAGUGAAGCCAACUGACAGGUUUUUGCCAUUAGGGAAUUCAAUUGGCUGUUGUUUGCCACUCCCAUAUUUUUAGGAUCACCCAAAUCAUUCCACCCUUCCCCUUCCAAUGGAUGUUCAGUCCCUGCUACCUUAAAUCCCAUCUUCAUCAUUUGAAAGUUCCAUGUAAUCUCCUUGAGAGUGGCUAGGCAUUGAAUGCUUGAAAUUAGAUCAUAAUUCUCCAAGGUUAGAAGUAAGACAUUGGCAGUGAAAGAUUGCCCUUGCAUACCCCCUGAA